Molecule: long non-coding RNA, 1089 nt
Filed under: Lonchura striata (white-rumped munia)
Lineage: Eukaryota; Metazoa; Chordata; Aves; Passeriformes; Estrildidae
Description: domestica (Bengalese finch) lncRNA (ENSLSDG00000001155.1)
Source: RNAcentral
CUGCAGUUUCCAGCAAUUUCAGGCUUUCCUGUUCAACUGGCAGUCAAUGCCUCAGCAGCAAUCAACAUAAAAAUCAAAGGGAAUGCUGAUUUCAAACAACAGUCUGAUUUCUUUCUAAAUGGAUAUAUCAAGCCAAGUGCAUUUGUUCAGCUUUCUGUCCAAGUGGGAAUUGUGGGGACUCUGGGACAAGCUGGCCUAAAGUGGUUAACAGGAAUGAGGACAUCUACUAGUCUUGAUGGGGGAAUCCAGGUGAAGAAAGGGAAAGAACUCAAGGUUUUCUUGAACACUCCAGAAGAAUCUAUGGAGUUAAUUAAUUUCAGCUCUAAACUCUACUUCAGAAUGGUGGAUGAGACAGAAGAUACAGAUGACUUCCAAGACAACACAGAAACCAGAUCUUGCACUAGGGAAGAAGUAUCUGAGAUUAUUGGCUGGCAACUGUGUUCUGAAAUGUCCUAUCCUGACCCAGCCAGUGGUUUGGUUUUGCCCCUCACCGGACCUUUGCUAGUGGCUGUGACAUUAACUAAGCAAGACAGAGGCCUGCAGCAGUACGUGGUGGAAGCUGCCUAUAACUACAUAGCUCAGGAGAAUUCAUGGAUCCCUAGUGAAGCUGUCUUUCACUUCUUCCUUGGGACUCCAAAGUCAGACUUGAAGAGAGAGAUUGGUGUUGACCUAAGUUUUAGUAUCCCACAGAAAAAAUUCAGAAUCCAAUUUAUACAACCUAAGAAAAAAAUUGAGAUUGAUGGGAGGAUUGAGUUUUCUAAAAAUUCUCAAGUUGGACACCUGGAGCUGAUAGUGGAUGACCGAGAUGUGUAUUACAUUAAGGGAAUGGCAGAUUUGCAGAUGCUGAGUGGAGAGCAGAAAUACAUGACCCAGCUGGAGGUAAAGCUGAUAAAGCAAAGCAGUCCUAUCAUUUUGUCAGGAAACAUCACUAAACAGCUUGGCAAGAAGAUAGCUGUUUCAGUAUCUCUGAAUAAUUUGUUGAAGGAUGCUGCAUUUCUUUCAGGUUAGAGGACACACUUCUGGAGAAAAAGGCUGAUGAUAAGCUGAGACAAUACUCGUUGGAAGGGGAGACCCACCUUCCAGGUGUUU